This 2565-nucleotide unclassified non-coding RNA is filed under the name uncultured Mogibacterium sp. Its description in RNAcentral is "partial contains 16S ribosomal RNA, 16S-23S ribosomal RNA intergenic spacer, and 23S ribosomal RNA". The stretch from base 1 to 1489 matches the Rfam family "Bacterial small subunit ribosomal RNA". Lineage: Bacteria; Bacillati; Bacillota; Clostridia; Peptostreptococcales; Anaerovoracaceae. The record is from RNAcentral.
GAUGAACGCUGGCGGCGUGCCUAACACAUGCAAGUCGAGCGGGAAAUUUUAAAAUGAAGCUUCGGUAGAUUUUUAAGAUGGAGAGCGGCGGACGGGUGAGUAACGCGUAGGCAACCUGCCCUUUGCAGAGGGAUAGCCAUUGGAAACGAUGAUUAAAACCUCAUAAUACUAAAUAGUCACAUGGCUGUUUGGUCAAAGAUUUAUCGGCAAAGGAUGGGCCUGCGUCUGAUUAGCUAGUUGGUGGGGUAACGGCCUACCAAGGCGACGAUCAGUAGCCGACCUGAGAGGGUGAUCGGCCACAUUGGAACUGAGACACGGUCCAAACUCCUACGGGAGGCAGCAGUGGGGAAUAUUGCACAAUGGGCGAAAGCCUGAUGCAGCAACGCCGCGUGAAGGAAGAAGGUCUUCGGAUCGUAAACUUCUGUCCUUGGGGAAGAUAAUGACGGUACCCUUGGAGGAAGCCCCGGCUAACUACGUGCCAGCAGCCGCGGUAAUACGUAGGGGGCAAGCGUUAUCCGGAAUUAUUGGGCGUAAAGAGUGCGUAGGUGGUUACUUAAGCGCGGGGUUUAAGGCAAUGGCUCAACCAUUGUUCGCCCUGCGAACUGGGUUACUUGAGUGCAGGAGAGGAAAGCGGAAUUCCUAGUGUAGCGGUGAAAUGCGUAGAUAUUAGGAGGAACACCAGUGGCGAAGGCGGCUUUCUGGACUGUUACUGACACUGAGGCACGAAAGUGUGGGGAGCAAACAGGAUUAGAUACCCUGGUAGUCCACACCGUAAACGAUGAGCACUAGGUGUCGGGGUCGCAAGACUUCGGUGCCGCAGUUAACGCAUUAAGUGCUCCGCCUGGGGAGUACGUACGCAAGUAUGAAACUCAAAGGAAUUGACGGGGACCCGCACAAGCAGCGGAGCAUGUGGUUUAAUUCGAAGCAACGCGAAGAACCUUACCAGGACUUGACAUCCUCCUGACCGCUCUUUAAUAGGAGCUUUCCUUCGGGACAGGAGAGACAGGUGGUGUAUGGUUGUCGUCAGCUCGUGUCGUGAGAUGUUGGGUUAAGUCCCGCAACGAGCGCAACCCUUGUCAUUAGUUGCCAUCAUUAAGUUGGGCACUCUAGUGAGACUGCCGGGGAUAACUCGGAGGAAGGUGGGGAUGACGUCAAAUCAUCAUGCCCCUUAUGUUCUGGGCUACACACGUGCUACAAUGGUCGGUACAAAGAGACGCGAAGUCGCGAGGCGGAGCAAAUCUCAAAAGCCGAUCCCAGUUCGGAUUGUAGGCUGCAACUCGCCUACAUGAAGUUGGAGUUGCUAGUAAUCGCGGAUCAGAAUGCCGCGGUGAAUGCGUUCCCGGGUCUUGUACACACCGCCCGUCACACCACGGAAGUUGGGGGUGCUCAAAGUUGGCAGGAUAAUAUGUUACCUAAGGCAAAACCGAUGACUGGGGUGAAGUCGUAACAAGGUAGCCGUUCGAGAACGAGCGGCUGGAUCACCUCCUUUCUAAGGAGACUUCGGUUUCCAUACUAUGCAUGUUCAAAGGUUGAACAAAGAAAGCGCAUUAGAUGCAUAAAGAGAACGUAUUUUCUUCUCAAUGCGCAGAAUUUUUUGCUUAAUGUAAGUCGAGUAACUAAGCAAUAAGCGAAAAAGUCAAGUAUAUGGGCUUGUAGCUCAGGUGGUUAGAGCGCACGCCUGAUAAGCGUGAGGUCGGAGGUUCGAGUCCUCCCAAGCCCACCAUUAGCACGAGUAAGACGUGGCAGAGCAUUUAUGCGAUGAAGCCCGAUGGUCUGAAAGUGCAUUUUUAAGCACCUUGAAAACUGAAUAGAGUAUCAAAGAAAGAAGAGAAGCAAAGAAGACAACGAAGAGGAUAUAGAAGUAUCAGUUAAGAUAUGAGGGUAAACUCAUCGAAGUCGAAAUUGUUGAAGAGAAAACCAGAAGAUUUCACUAUGAGAUUAAUAAUAGUGUAAAGACCUAUGCAAUAAACGCUAUGCAUAGGCGAAGGAAUCGACUCGAAAAGCGAUGAAAAAACAUCGCGAAGUGAUUUGACCUUAAUGCGAUUAACAAAGCAGUAAGGGCAAAUACGAACGAGAGGUCAAGUGAAGAAGGGCACAAGGUGAAUGCCUUGGCACUAGGAGCCGAAGAAGGACGUGACAAGCUGCGAAAAGCUGCGGUAAGGAGCAAAUAUCCGAUGACCCGCAGAUAUCCGAAUGGAGAAAUCCGGCUGUAGUAAUGUACAGUCAUGUAUAAGUGAAUAAAUAGCUUAUGCAGGGAAACUCGGGGAACUGAAACAUCUAAGUACCCGAAGGAAGAGAAAGAAAAAUCGAUUUCCUAAGUAGCGGCGAGCGAAAGGGAAAGAGGCCAAACCAUUAGUUUACUAAUGGGGUUGUGGAUCACUCACAACUUAGGGUUUUGAUAGCAGAAUAGGUUUGGAAAGACCAACCGUAGAGGGUAAAGGUCCCGUAUGCGAAAUCAAAUAACUAAAGAGUGACACCAGAGUAGCACCGGACACGUGGAACCCGGUGUGAAGCCGGGGGGCCCACCCCCCAAGCCUAAAUACUACCUAGUGACCGAUAGAGAAU